This is a transfer RNA of Cyphellophora europaea CBS 101466, 104 nucleotides long. It matches the Rfam family "tRNA". Rfam says of the family: Transfer RNA (tRNA) molecules are approximately 80 nucleotides in length. Their secondary structure includes four short double-helical elements and three loops (D, anti-codon, and T loops). Lineage: Eukaryota; Fungi; Ascomycota; Eurotiomycetes; Chaetothyriales; Cyphellophoraceae. The record is from Rfam.
UCUCUUGUGGUGUAAUGGUUAACAUCUCCGGUUUUCAUUGAAAACCACGUUGAUCUCGGUACUGAGUUACCCGGAAGCUCCGGGUUCAAUUCCCGGCAAGAGAA